UUUUGACCUCAAGUCAGGUAGGACUACCCGCUGAACUUAA
RNAcentral lists this ribosomal RNA (40 nucleotides) under Tylopilus appalachiensis. Its description in RNAcentral is "partial 28S ribosomal RNA". The record is from RNAcentral. Lineage: Eukaryota; Fungi; Basidiomycota; Agaricomycetes; Boletales; Boletaceae.